UGUGAGGAUAGAGGGUUUAAUUAGGUUAUUGUGCAUUUGUGUGAUUGAGAGGGAUAUUGGAUCAAUUUUAUUGUAAUUUUGUGUUAUCUAGAUUGAAUUGGUGGAUAAUUAGGAUAAAUGAUUGGAAUGGAAAAAUUAUUUGUGUGAUAUAGAAACUAUUAAAAACUUAACAGAUAAAAAUUGAAAAAAAAAAACAUAU
RNAcentral lists this long non-coding RNA (199 nucleotides) under Populus trichocarpa (black cottonwood). Its description in RNAcentral is "long non-coding RNA (PTRI_LNC002987)". Lineage: Eukaryota; Viridiplantae; Streptophyta; Magnoliopsida; Malpighiales; Salicaceae. The record is from RNAcentral.